AAUGACUGUUUAUUGGUCAUGUAUGGACUCCAGGCCUGGCCCUUUUUUAAUAUAUGAUGAUCCAUUGCCAAUAGUGGAAGGAUCCGAAGAGCUGAUCGAUGAUGAUGGCAAAAGGCAGCUUCGUUCUCAAAUUAAAGCCUAGCAUGUGCGAAGCUAGUUCUGUUUCUUUCUUGAUUUCUUUUUAAGAUUUAGGGCAAAACAAAGAACAACACACACAUGCCUAAUAAUUAAUUGGAUCGUAGUAUCUCUGGCUGAGAAAGGCAAGAUGUGCUGUUUGAAAAAAAAAAUGAAAAUGGCUUUACUGAUUGUCUACUUAAGCCACC
Molecule: long non-coding RNA, 323 nt
Filed under: Sorghum bicolor (sorghum)
Lineage: Eukaryota; Viridiplantae; Streptophyta; Magnoliopsida; Poales; Poaceae
Description: long non-coding RNA (SBIC_LNC009819)
Source: RNAcentral